AGAGAGGGUGCCGGGAAGCCUGGAAAGGGGAGGGGCCCAGACUCAGGGGUCACCUGGCCUAGAGUCAGAAAUUCUUUUCCACAACAGCAAGAGAGGGUUGGGUGAGAUAAAAGGAGGGACUUCCUAGACUGGAGAAGGUGCUGUGGAAGUGAAGGUUCCUAUUUGGCAGGACCCCAGAGUACCCAGGCCCAAACUCAUUCCGGAUAUGGAGAAAGUUGGGCCUGAGUUGGGGGGGACAGGAGAGAGAGCGUGGGGCGGGCCGCCUCGGGGGCACAUGACGGCGGCGCCCGCCCCGCCCCGCGCCCGCCCCCUGCCCGGCCGUGGGGGGAGGAGACGCGGAGGUUUUAAAGGCGAUCUGGGCCGGCCGGCGGGGUGGGGCGCGGCCGGCGUCGUCUCGCCCGCGCGGAGCCCGGCUCCCCUCCCCCGCGGGGAAGUGGGGUCCGGCCCGGGAGAGACUCGCGGGGCGCGGGCGGCAGCAACUUUCCCGCUCGGGCCGGGGACGAGAGAGGGGCCGCGACCGGCCGGCCCCGGAGGCAGGAGCUGGAUCCCACUGCGGGCGACAGCAGGUAGACUUGCGGGGGCCUGGCGGCCUGACCCCGGCGUGGAGCAGCCGAGGCCACAGCCCUUGGUCCUCACUAGAGGCCUGAUGUCUUGUGCUGGCCCCAGACUGACCUCUAGAUUUGCAGGCCACCGAACCCCUGGGCUGUGCGUGACCUUCCCUCCUGGCCAGGCCCCACUGGCCAUCUGAGUGUCUAGGAAGUGCCCUGGCUCCCUGUACCUGCCCCCUUCCCAGCCUCCAGCAGCUGCCCGCCCCUGGCAGGGUGGCCCGAGAAGGUAAGUGUAAGGGCUGGAGGACCCUGGCACCGGGCUGUCCCCGCCAGCCCAGCCCAAAGCAGGAGCAACCCGACAGGUGCGCAGGCUUCCAGGCGAGGUGAUGCGGGCUCGCCCGGGCCGCUCACCCACGCACUGUGCCUGGGCCAGCCUGGGCACAUGUGUUCACACCACCACAGAGCUGAGAAGGGAGGAGCACGGAGGCCCGAGCCCUGGGGAGCAUUAUGGCUCUCUGUCUUUGUCCGGGUGGGGGACCCUGAGAGCAUCCUUAAGACCCCCCAACUGGUCAGGCCUUGCUUGAGGACUUUCCAGGGGGCCUUAAAAUAGCUGUGGGCCCAGCCCAGGGCUGGCACGCGGCGCAUAUGCGUGACAGGGCGUGUCCAGGGGGUCGGGCCUGUCUGCGCUGGCCCGGCCUCUGAGUUUGGCAGAUUCUUGCUUGCUGGAGAGAGACAGCCAAGGCUGGUGCCCCACGAGGCACCCCCAUGCCAUGGCCACCCUGUGCCUGUUGCAAGUGGAGGCCAGAUGUUUCCAGCUAGCCCCAGCCUUCUGCACUUCCCUGCAAACAGGCCUGUGUGGGAACGGGAGGGUCUCUCUGGGGCAUAGGCUGAGUCAGAACAGUGUGUGCCCAGGUUGGCUUGGAACUCGCUGCAAUUCUCCUGCCUCAGCUUUCUGGGAUGCAGCACUAGCACCGUGCCUACCCUGUUCCUGUUCCAAUAGCAGCUUCUAGUUGUUUUGCUUUUUGAGAUGGAGUCCCAGGCUGGCCUCAAACUUCGGAAGCUCCUGUCGCCACAGCCAGAGUGUUGGGAUCUCAGGCCUGCAUCACUCCUGGCCUGCAAAGUGCUGGGGGUUGAACCCAGGGUCUGUGCAAGCCAGGAACCACUCUACUGUCUGAGCUACAUCUCCAUCCCUUUUAACAGAUGGAAACAGGGUUUCUUGUAUCCUUGGCUGGCAUCACACUUGCCACAAAACCAACAGUGGUCUUGAACUCCCCACUCCCCAGCCUGCAUCUCUCAAGUAUGAGAUGGACGUUCUUUUCUUUAUGGAGGAAGUGUAGACAGCGCUGAGAAUGUCUCUGCCUCAGUUUUUCCAUCUGUAAAUGGGAACAUUAGGAUAAGCGGUGUAACAGCGCACACCUUGCCCCUCCUAGUCUCCUGUAUGGUGCUCUGGUCUCUUCAUCCCUGAAUAUCCUGAGUGGACAUGGAUGUGUGUCUUCAUAGCUGGCCAUGGGGAAGAACUAAGGGUGGUGGCGUGGGCGUGAGAAUUCUUGGGGAGGGAAGGACAACGCCAUGCCGGGCAUGGCUGAGUCACACUCUAGCGGCGCCUUGCCUCAGGCUGCUGGAGCUGGCGCCACCCUGGGUGUGGCUACUGAGCUGUGGCCCCGGGCAGAGCAGGGUUGGGUGGCCAGGAUGGGCACAGGGGCUGGGGGAACAAAUUUGAGAUACCCCUUGUUACCUCCCUUUUGUCUUUAGAAUUGCCUUCCAGGACUGGGUGUCAUCCAGCCACAAGUACACUUUCAGGGCUCAGGAACCGUAAGCCUUGGGCCUGGGAAUGAUAAUUAUUAACCUUAUUUAACAAAAGAACUUUUUUGAGGCAUGGCCCCAUGUAGUCAGUCUAUGCUGGCAUGGAACUGGAUAAGUAGUCAAGGCUGGCCUUGAACCCUGGUCCUUCUGCCUCCACCUCUUGAGUGCUAGGCUUACCUGUGUGCAACACUAUGCAGGAUUUGUGCUUAGGAUGGAAUCCACUGACCCUGUGCUUCCUGUAAAGUAGGCAAGCACUCCACCCCAGUCUGUUUUGGGGUUUGAGACAGUCAUAUUUCAUAGCCUACAAUGGUCUUGAACACAUUGCAAUCCUCCUGCUUCAGCCUUCUGAAUGGUGGAAUGACAGACAUGCCUCACGGUGCCUGGCUAGUUCCUGGAAGUUUUGGAGUGUUAAGGGAGUGAGCCAGAGCCUUCCAGUUGAGUGUUGGAGGUCCCUGCUUCCAUCUCCUGUCCCAGGCUAGGCCAGGGCCUGGGAUGAACUUCACUCUGUGGACUCCAAUUGGCUUUAGGGGAACGCAAGAAUUGGGGAUGUGACUCAGUGGUAGAGCACUAGCCCAGCGCGUGCCAGGCACUGGGUCCGUCUCCAGCACCGCAAAAGGAAUUUUAAGAAAUGGAGUAGGGGAUUUGGUUGGACUGUGUGGCUGGCGGGCAGCGAGGGUGGGACGUGGCUGUCUUUCCCUAUUUAUACCAAGUGAUUCAGCACUCCCUCACCCCUUCCUGCGCCCCCUCCACUCCCAGGUCGGCACCGGGCCCACCCACUUGCUCAUGCCCUGCCCCCAAACCGAGCGGGUUGUCUGUCCCUGCGUGGGGACCGGCGUGGAGGGCAGGCAUCUGCGCCGCAGGUCGGGCUGGCCCGGGCCCAGCCGCCAAGCUCCUGGGAAGAGUCUGGGCCAUUAGCGAGCGCUGUGUGUACAGACACCGGCUGGGGUGCCACAGCCCAAGACUCGCCCUGUUCCCCGUGGUCUCCAGCGCCUGACCUCUGCCCCUUUGGGUCCCCUCUUCUUAUGAGGCAGAGAGGCACAAUUUUUGGUACAGGUUGUCCCAGCUCCUGGACACCUGCGUGGUAAUGUCCCUUCACACCAGACACAGACCUCUGGUGUGUGAGGAUGGGAGUGGCCUUGGCCGCAGCCUUGGGCUCUUUGUAGGGGAAACCCCACAGGAAACCAGCCUGGCCAAAUGGCCGCCCUUCCCGUUCUAGUCCCCGGGACGAAUAUGCUGUCUCACUUCCGGAGGUGACUGGGGAGGCUGGCCAGCCUGAGGCACUGGGCUGCCCCCAGACCCCAAAGGGACAGAGCUGGGCUGGGACUUGGUGGAAAGGAGGGUAGUCAGCGUGCAUUCAUGUGCGGUGGUGAUGGAGGUAGGGGUGUGUGUGUGUGUGUGUGUGUGUGUGUGUGUGUGUGUGUGUGUGAGUGUGUGUGUGUGUUCAGGGAGACACAGCAGAACAUCUCAUCUCUCAGUGUGUGUGUGUGUGUGUGUGUGUGUGUGUGUGUGUGUGUGUUCAGGGAGACACAGCAGAACAUCUCUCAAUCCCUAUUCCUCAGAGAGAGGUAAUGCCAGAUCUAUAUUACGAGCCAUUGUCCUGCUUGUCGUUGAUAUGACAGAAUCCUGUCCUGAUGUCAUCCAAGGACUCCCAAUUACUUAGGAAGCGGAGAUGUUCUCUCUUUUUUGAGAUGAAUUUGACUUUUAUUUUUGGGUAUGUGCAUGUAUGUGUAGGUGUCCACAGAGCCAGAAGAGGGUGCCAGAUCCCCUGGAGUUGGAACCACAGGUAGUCCUGAGCUGGGGAACCAAACUCCGGUUCUCUGAAAGAGCAAUAUGCGAUCUAAACCACCGAGCCAUCUUUUCAGCCCUAAGAUUUCGUUUUGAGAGUCUCAUGUAUCCCAGGCUGGCCUCCACCUUGCUCCGUAGCCAAGGAUGACCUUGAAUUUCUAAUCCCCAGUCUCCACCUCCUGAAUGCUGAGAUUACAUGUUUUUACCAUAACAUUUCAUUGUUAAGGUGCUGGUGAUGGAGCCAGGACUGGUAUGCUGGGCCAGCAAGUUGCCAUUGAGCCUCACCCCAGUUGCUUUUUUUUUUUCUUUAAUUAAAAAUUAUUUAGCCAGGUGGUAGUGAUGUAUACCUUUAAUCCUAGAAUUUGGGAGGCAAAGGCUCUCUGUGAGUUUGAGGCCAGCCCUGUUCUAUAGAGCAAGUUCCAGGACAUCCAGGGCUGUUACACAGAAAAACUCUGUCUCAAAAAAACAAAAAUAGAUAUUUAUUUUAUGUGUGUGUUUUGUCUACAUGUGUGUAUGGUGACUGCAGAGUCCAGAAGGUGUCAGAUUCCCUAGAACUGGAGUUACAAACAGUUGCCAGCCACUAUGUGGAUGCUGGGAACCGAACCUGGAACCCCUGAAAGAGUAGCCAGUGCUUUUAACCACUGAGCCAUUUCUCUAGCUCCUUUCUUUUGAAAUACAGUCUCACUUGGUAGCCCAGGCUGACCUCUAGGUUGAGUUUCUCUAUCCCUCUUGGAUGCAGGGAUUUCAAGUCCAUGCCAUUAUACCAGGGUCUAAAAUAAUUUAUUAUUGCUAUUUUGCAGAUAAAAAGACUUGUCCCAGAGAGGCUGUGUUCUUUGACUAUGUCAACCAGCAAAGAAGCUGCACAGCUCACUGGCAGGCCCAAAGCUCCAGAAUUGAAUUCACCCAGCCAUAGGCCUUUCCCCGACUCUUUUUCCUUUUGAGAGAAAGGGUCUCACUCUGUAGACGAAGCUGGCCUCAAAGUCCCGUAGAUCUUCCUGCCUCUGCCUCCUGAUCAGUGUGUGCUGGGAUCAGUGUGUGCUACUGUAGGCUUUUAUGACACAUGAGCUGUCUGAAAAUCUUACCCUCCUCCGUGCGUGCGUGUGUACAGAGUGUAACCUCAAGUGCAGUUUAUCAGGAAUGUGUGUGCCUGGUGUCCUAGGUCAAAGAGAUUUCUUGGAACUGGAGUUACAGAUGGUUGUGAGCCACUGUGUGGAUGCAAGGAACUGAACUCAGGUCCUCUGCAAGAACAAGUGCUACUAGGCAUGGUGGCACACGCCUUUAAUCCCAGCACUCUUGAGGCAGAGGCAGGUGAAUCUCUGUGAGUUUGAGGCCAGCCUGGUCUACAGAGUGAGUUCCAGGACAGCCAGGGCUACUCAGAGAAACCCUGUAUGUGUGUGUGGGGGGGGAGGUGUGGGGCAACAAGCUCUCUUUACCACUAAAGCCAUCUCCCAGCCCUUCCCUUGUUCUCAGACAGGGUAUCUCACUGGGACCUGGAGCUGGACCAAUAGGUGUGGCUGGUGCUUGUGAACCCUAGGGGGUCUUUUUGGCUCUACCUCCAAAGACCAGAAUUACAAGUGUGAGCUUCCAUGCCUGGGGACAAGGCGGGGCUUUGUGCUUGCAUGGCAACCACUUUAUUGACUGACCUAUCACCUCAGACCCUGAAUUUUUUUAAAACACAGUUGUCUGGUCUGUGUGUGGGUUUGUGCAUGUCAGUGCAGUGCCCUCGGAGACUAGAAGAGGGAGUGAAAUCCCCUGAAGCUGGAGUUACAGGCCAUUGUGAGCCACCUGAUGUGGGUGCUAGGAACUGAUCUCAGGUCCUCUGCAAUAGCAGCUAGUGCUCCUAACCACUGAGUCAUCUCUCCAUGCUUUAUUUGAGAGACAGUCUCACUAUGUAGCUCUGGCUGGUCUAAAACUCCCUACUCAAGGUUGGCCUUGAACAACUCAGAGAGAUCUGAUUACCUUUGCCUUUCAAGUGCUGGAACUAAAGGUGCAUACCACCAUUCCUGACAAUUUAUUUUUAUUGUAUGAGUGUUUGCCUGCAUGUAUGCAUGUGCACCAUAUGUGUGCCUGGAACCCACAGAGGACAGAAGAGAGCAUAUAUGUCUCUAACUCUUGGAACGGAGUUAUAGACAGCUGUGAUUACCAGGUGGGUUCUGGGAAGGGAAUGUAGGUCCUCUGCUAGAACAACUGCUCUUAACUCCUGAGCCAUCUCUCCAAUCCUGAAUUUUUUACAUUUGAGUGUGUGUGGUCACAAGUGCAGAGAGAUUCGAGGAUGAUUUGCAAGGGGUCAGUAUGUUUUUCUACUAUGUGUUUCUUGGAGUUUGAGCUCAUGGCAUUGGGCUUGAUGGAGAGUAUGUUUACUAGCUGGACCAUCUUGCUGGCCCUGAAACUUUUAAUUGGCAUGUAGGAGCUAUUCUACAUUGGAUGCUGAGUAUCAAAUAGCUUCUUCUCUGUAAAUUUAUACUGACCUACCUGGUAGAGGGUCUUUGUUUGUUUUAAGACUAGGGUCUCAGACUGUAGCCUAGUUUGGCCUAAAACUCAUUAUGUAGCUUAAGCAGGCCUUUGAUUCUUGACAACUCUCCCGCCUCAGUCUCCCCAAUGCUGAGAUAAACUUGAGCCACCAACCACAAUUAUUCUUGGUCUACUUUACAGAUGGGGAAACUGAGGCUUGGAAGGCCUCUGGGAAACUUGAGGAGCAGAUGCUUAAACUUUGCUGAGUUAUUGGGGUAGAGAGGCCUGCUUCUCCCAGCAUGGGUGCUGAGUUGGUGGGGCUGGGGUGUGUCUGAGCAGGCUGUGGAGGAGACAGCUAUGGAGGCAGGAGGAGGAGGUACUGGAGUUCCCUCUGCCUUUCAGGCUUCUAGGAAGUGGCGCCAGCUGGGGUGAGGUCACUUCCUCCCUCAACCACCCACCUCCCUCAGCUUCCUCUCUCCUUGGCCCCAUUUGGCCUGCUUUGGGCUCAGGGCUGUGGGUGGAGAGAGAAACAGACUGAGUGGAAAGCGCUGAGGGGGCUUUGUGUCCUGUCUGGCCUGUAGGGCUUCCUGGGCACCUCCGACUUUGUAGGGCUGGGGCUAGAGGCACUCCUGGGAGCCCAGCAUCUAGCUGGCUCACUCAGUUCUCCCUAGGAUGCUCCUCUGUGGGGAGGCUUCUGUCCUGGAAGCAGAUGGAGGGCUGGGGUGUAGCUCUGUCCCUAGCACCAUGUAAACUGAGGGUGUUGAGGUGAGCCUGUAAUUCUAGACUCCAGAGGUGGAGGCAGGGGAAUCACCAGUUCAGAAACUGCCUCAGCCAUGGGAGACCCUGCCAUGUAAUAAGAAAUGAUAAGCCAGCAAGCAGGAAUAUUCCCUAUCUCAUUCUCUCUCCUCUCUUUUUCUCCAUAGGUGCUACACUCCGAUCCUGCUUGCUGUCCCCUCACUGUGCCUUGGCCGGCUGGGGUUCCUGGGGAUGGGAUUUGAUGCCAGUCACAAAUCACAUUGCCAGGGAUUUCCAACUGACCUUGUG
This 7631-nucleotide long non-coding RNA is filed under the name Cricetulus griseus (Chinese hamster). RNAcentral describes it as "lncRNA (ENSCGRG00015030274.1)". The stretch from base 7554 to 7626 matches the Rfam family "mir-23 microRNA precursor family". The record is from RNAcentral. Lineage: Eukaryota; Metazoa; Chordata; Mammalia; Rodentia; Cricetidae.